GAUGAACGCUGGCGGCGUGCCUAAUACAUGCGAGUCGAGCGAACGGACGAGAAGCUUGCUUCUCUGAUGUUAGCGGCGGACGGGUGAGUAACACGUGGAUAACCUACCUAUAAGACUGGGAUAACUUCGGGAAACCGGAGCUAAUACCGGAUAAUAUUUUGAACCGCAUGGUUCAAAAGUGAAAGACGGUCUUGCUGUCACUUAUAGAUGGAUCCGCGCUGCAUUAGCUAGUUGGUAAGGUAACGGCUUGCCAAGGCAACGAUGCAUAGCCGACCUGAGAGGGUGAUCGGCCACACUGGAACUGAGACACGGUCCAGACUCCUACGGGAGGCAGCAGUAGGGAAUCUUCCGCAAUGGGCGAAAGCCUGACGGAGCAACGCCGCGUGAGUGAUGAAGGUCUUCGGAUCGUAAAACUCUGUUAUUAGGGAAGAACAUAUGUGUAAGUAACUGUGCACACCUUGACGGUACCUAAUCAGAAAGCCACGGCUAACUACGUG
This 497-nucleotide ribosomal RNA is filed under the name uncultured bacterium. RNAcentral's name for it is "partial 16S ribosomal RNA". It matches the Rfam family "Bacterial small subunit ribosomal RNA", at positions 28 to 507 of the family's 1533-position model. The record is from RNAcentral.